AAGCCUUCGCCCUCCCCUCAAGGAGCUACGCAGCCUAAUUGCUAGAAGCCUCGACUGCAGUCCGAGUGCCUGGCAACGGGGACGCUAUCUGGGACUUUCUCAUUGGUCAGGGGCACGUAGGGGAAGGAGGAGGAGGGGCGAGACGGGACAUUCUGCUUAGUGGCAGAGCUCUGUCUGUACUUUCCUAGCGAGGCAGGCAGCCAGGGUGAGACUUCCUAAACUUUUCUCGUCCACGGAGGGAGCGGGGCAAUUCACGGGGUCCCAGACCUAGAGCUGGAAGGGACCCUUCAUUGUACAUAGGAGGAAACUGAGGCAAAGUCACCUGGGGAGUGAGGGGAAGUAUCGGGAGUAAAAAAUCUCUCCUAAAACACCCCAAUACAGGCGAUCAUCCAACCUCUACGGCAAUAAAAAUAGCAUCUCUCUAUCUCUGCGUAUCCCUUGGAGGUUUGUAAAGCACCGUAUUUACAUUCUGUUAUUAUCCCGAUUGUUCAAGAUGAGGAAAACAGUCAGUGAACGUAAGGGACCGUUGUCCAUCUGGUAAACGUCUCAGGCAAGAUUUGAAACCAGGACUUCCCGAGUUCAAGUCCAGACCACCGCCGCCCUCUAGAUAUCCAGGGAUGGGAGGAUCGCCACUUGUGAAGAAGGUUGUCCUUUCAUCCUGCUCCAAAUUGCCACCCUAUAGCAUCCAUCCUUUCCUCCUGAUUCAGUCCCCCGUGGGCAUGCUCAACAAGUCUAAUCUACACUCAUUUUACCCUCCAAGAAUCAAAUUCAUAUUAUCAAGUGGACGAUUAAAUUAUGUUCAACUGACUCACAGUCUUGGGCUUGGAAAUAGGAGACCCAAUUUUGAGGGUAAAUCACUGAGUGACUUUGAGCAAAUUCCUUUCCUUCUCUGGAAGCCACUGGAUUCUUCAUUCACAUCAUCCCUGCCUACCACAGAGAGUUUCAAGCCUCCUUAAUGUUCCUCAUACAAGACUCUCCAUCUCAUGACUCCAGGCAUUUUCUCUGGCUAUCCUCCAUGCCUAGAACUCUCUCCCUCCUCCUCUGUCUCCUGGCAUCUGUGGCUUCCUCUGGAUCUCAGUCAAAUUUUCACUUACUACAGGAAGACUUUUCCUCAUGCCCUUAAUGCUAGUUCUUUACCUCUAAGUUUUAACGUCCAAUUUAUUUUGUGUUUAUUAUCUUGUUCGUCUAUAGCUCUUAACACUUUGUCUCCUCUAUUAGAUUGUGAGAUCCUUGUGGGGAGGGACUCUUUUUCCUUCUUUGAAUCCCCCAGCACUGAGCUUGGUACCUGGCUUUAGUAGGGGCUUAAUAAAUGCUUGUUUACUGAAUUAUGUGACUUGAUGAUUAAUAUAAAAUAUUUUCUAGCCAUCUAGGCAUGUGAGGAGUCUUGCCAAUUCUAAGGCAUGAAUUGAUUAUUUAGGCAGAUAGGUGGAAUAGUAGAUAGAUAGACUGCUUGACCAGGGGUCAGGAAGACCUUAGUUCAAAUUCAACCUUAGGCAAUUAUUGACCAUGUGACCUUGACACUCAACCCUGUUUGCCUCAGUUUCCUUACCUGUAAGAUGAAGAUAAUAGGAUACUUUGCAAACCUUAUAGAAUGCUAUUUAAAUACUUUUGUGUAUGUACAUAUCUAUAUCUAUAUAUUAUUGUUCAUCCUUCAGAUUUAAAGACCUCAUGGGGUGAUGUCUUGACUUGUUCAUGAAUUGGAUUUAAGUGAGGCAGGGUUGCCCAAUGUUGUCAUCCUCAGUCUUUAUUCCAAAGUAUUUGAAGUCCAGUGGCAAGAUCAAAGUCAGCACAACUGGGGAAGUCCUAGGACUCAGUGAAUGACUUUGGUAUCUUUGAUGUCUGACCAAGCUUUAAGCUCUCCACAGCACUUGUGUUCUAUGCCUUCAUGGCAGUUGGAACAAUUGUUCUCAUCUGCCCCUUCCUCUGGAGGAAGACUUUGAAUGCCUAGGGUAGAUACCCUCCCCCAGACAGUCCCUCAACUCACUAAUGGGUUUUGAGAUCUGUUGGUUACCCUUAACUUGGUUCAAUCUGUCUGCCAAGAUGGCUGUGUGGCCACUGCACUUGCCAUGAAUUAUUGGAGCCACAAGUGAUAGGCAGGUGGCAGGUGGACAUUAAAGGAGGAAAGCAGCCCUGAAAAUGGCUCAGCAGCCCUCACACCAGAGGUGCUAGUCUUCUCAGAAUACUUGGUAUUGUUAAGGGUAAAAAUAAGGAUUGAGACUGAAUAUAUUAUAUUAGUGGUUGCCAGGAAUUUAAAUUCUAAAUCCCAAUGAAAUACUCAAGUCAGAAUGGAAUUUUAUGUUGGUUUAUUUACAAUACAAGGAAGAAAUUAAGAAGAAGGAGAAAGAGGGGAAGGGGUAAAGAUCUACUCUGGCCUGAGCCAGGGAGAGUUCAGUGGCCUCAGCCAAGGGGCCUUCCCAGAAGAUAAAAUCUAGCUAGGCUACCGGCUAGGAGGUCUCCUCCAAGAUGAGGGGCCUCCUUGAAGGAGGACCUUCAGAAGGGUCAAGGGAAAGGGGAGUCAGCUGUAAACCUCAAAAUUUCUUAGACUUAUAAAUGUUGGAAAUUUCACCAUUGGGAAAUUUCAUACUUGAAAAAUUUCCUAUUGAUAGUGGGUCUUGACUAUUGGAAUGUGAACCCCAUUGGCAUGGGAGGUUCCUUCUCCUCCCUUCUUAAGAUUACUUUAGGACAGAAACCUUUUGCUGAACAAUGGAAAGGACUUUGACCCAUGCUUAAGCAUAGAACAGGAAUUUCUUUGAGUCAUGAUUGAUUUUAGAAUUGAUACAAUGGAGAUACUUGGAAUCAAUCUCCACCCUACUCAGUCCUAACAGGAUUGAGUAAGGGCUGCAGCAUAGAUCAAAAUAUAAUUAUUCCAAUCUCUACCCUACUCAGGUUAACAGGAUUUAGAAAGGGCUGUAGCAAAGGAUCAAAGAUUUAAUUAUUUGAAAAUAUGACCUUCAACAGACAUGUGCAAAGCCAGAGACCUCUGGGCGGUCCUGGGUUAAGCUAGAGCCUCCAUUGGUACAGGGAAAUUGAUGGACAGGUGAUUGGUAGAUGUGAGGACUGAGGGGAGGGAACUUGGAUGGUUUCCUUAAGGAUAGGGGGGUCUGAAGACUGGGAGGUGGUUGAGGAGUUUGUCGGAGUGGUUGCGGUGUGCUCUGAGAAGCUUGCUCUGAAGAAAGCUGGAGGUGGGGGCCCCAGAGACUGUUUCUCCAUUUUUGGUCACGUGAGUAAUAGGGACUGAUCUCCUUUCAUUGCCCCAGCUAUCUAAGGGCUUGGGCCUUUUGGCCCAGCCUAAACAGUAGGGGUAUUUAAGCCCUAUUCCCUUCUCUCCCCUUUCUCUCUCCCUCUAUCUCUCUAUCUCUAAUUCCUUUCUUCCUCCUGUUUGUAAAUAAAACUCCAUAAAAGGUUGACGGCUGACUUGAGUUUUCAUUAAGGAAUUACAUAGCUGAAUUCCUUGGCGACCUUAAAUUAAUAUAUAUCAGUCUUUUAAAAGUGAUUUCCUUGUCACACAGCCUUAUCACUCACCACGUGGCCUUUCAGGGAAGUAGUCUCACCUAGACCCUCGCUUUUGAGCUCUUCCCAGUCAAUUCCACCGCCAAAGCCGCCAAGGACUCCAAAAGCUGUAAAAGUCUCCAAAAGCCCCUUUCACAGGAAGUGACACAAAAUAUAUAGGCAGUUCUUUAUAUCACUUCCUGUGUCUCACAUAUACCAAUGGUGGCUUAAACUUGACUUAGGACAACCCAGGGGGUCAGUCAGUUGUUUCUGAUUUGUCACUUGCUGGCACAUGCUGGUCACAGACCAUCCUCCCCCACACUUAAUUCUUAAGUAGGGGUGAAUACAUUCCUGGUUGCUAGAAUUCAGAAGACUAAGCAGGGUGGAAUAAAUCUAAAAUUCACAGUACUCCUCAUAUAGGUAUAGGAAGUUAAGAUGAGUGUAUAUGCAUAUACUCACACAUAUACACAUUUGGUGUAUGUAUAUAAAAUUUGUUUGUGUUUAUAUAUUCGUAUACUAGCUAUUCAUAUUUCAGAGCUCCCCCACUACUUAUUACUGGGAGGAGAGCCUCCUUAGACAUCACCUUAAUUUUACAGAGGGAGAAAUUGAGGUACAUGGAGGAGAAGUUACUUGUCAAAGGGCAUCCAGUGAUUUAGGGGCAGGGCUAGAACUAGAAUCCAAAUCUUUCAACUCCUAGCUCAGGACUCAGUAUCAGGACAUGCAAAUCUUAGUUUAUUUGUGUAAAGUCUGAGCCCAGGGAACUGGAAAUACAAACUCCCUCCCUCCCCCUUUUCCUUUUGCUUAAAUAAGGCAUCAGAAGGAAUUAAAAAUAAACCUAUCAAGUUGAAAAAUAUUUUGGGGAUAUAUUGGACACCAGCUGGGAUAGCUGAAGUGAGAUUUAAAAAUCUGGUAAACACAACCAAUUCAGUCAAUGGUACAUAUGUUCAGCAUUAAAAACCUAUUGGAAAGACAUUAUUUUCAGAAGUCCCAUAUUAUGCUUUGCCGCUUGCAUCUUGAACCCAGAGAUUUCCGUCUGGCGAAUUAUACAGAAAUGCCAGUUUGGGCUUUAUAAAUUACAGGGCCCAGGGCAAGGCUCAAACUUGGGGCUCCCUUGAUAUCAGCUAGUUGGCAAUCUGUCCAUGGAUCCCUGCCAGUAAGAAAUGCCACUGGAUAAUGGGCAUUUGUACCACCUAAAAGGAUUAACAGUUACAACAGGAUUAUAGGCUGGAUCCUGCUGUGAAAAUGCCCAGGAGGCCUUAGGCUAUGAGGACAGGAUGCUCUGUCCCCCAGCCUGCCAGAAUGAUGUAAAUAAUAAUCACAGUUUACUUUGGGAGACCUUCUUCCAAGACUUCCAUAUCUAUUAUCCAAAGAUAAUAGAUAGUAAUAAUAGAUAAUGACAAUAGCUAGCAUUUACAUAGCACUUUAAAGUUUGCAAAGUGCUUUACAAAUCUCUUAUUUAAUCCUCAAAGCAAUUCUUGGAAGGCAGCUAGAUAGUGUAGUGGGUAGAGCCAGAGUCUGGAGUCAAGAAAACCUGAGUUCAAAUUUGUCCUAAGACACUAGCUGUGUAGCCCUGGGCAAAUCAAUGAACCUUGUUUAUCUUCGUUUUCUCAUCUAUCAAAUGAGCUGGAAAAGGAAAUGGAAAACUAUUCCAAUAUCUUGGCCAAGAAAAUCCAAAUGGGGGUCUUGAAGAGUCUGACACAAAUGAAAUGACUCAACAACAGCAACAACAACAACAGCAGCAGCAGCAGCAGCAGCAGCAACAACAACACCACAGUCCUAGAAGCUGUUCCCUAGACCUGGAAUCUACUCCCUCCUCAUCUCUGCCUCUGGAAUCACUAGAAUCCUUCCAGGCUCAGCUCAGAAAAUGGAAUGGAGUUUUUUCCUUGUCGACGUAUACCAUGGACAGCAGCCUCUUUCCCCAGAAAGCCUAGAAUUAUGGCUCAAGCUGUUUGACAAGAUCAGUAUCCGUUACAAAGACGAGGUUGAAAUUUCUAUGCCCAUGUUUAUCCAGCCCCAAAAUGCAUUUCUUCCGCACUGGUUCAUUGUCAACUCACAUUGUCGGGGCCAUUCUGAAAA
Molecule: non-coding RNA, 5565 nt
Organism: Monodelphis domestica (gray short-tailed opossum)
Lineage: Eukaryota; Metazoa; Chordata; Mammalia; Didelphimorphia; Didelphidae
Source: RefSeq, a predicted model, not a curated record